CUCAUCACCCUGUGACAUACCUAAAACGUUGCUUCGGCGGGAACAGACGGCCCUGUAACAACGGGCCGCCCCCGCCAGAGGACCCCUAACUCUGUUUUUAUAAUGUUUUUCUGAGUAAACAAGCAAAUAAAUUAAAACUUUCAACAACGGAUCUCUUGGCUCUGGCAUCGAUGAAGAACGCAGCGAAAUGCGAUAAGUAAUGUGAAUUGCAGAAUUCAGUGAAUCAUCGAAUCUUUGAACGCACAUUGCGCCCGCCAGUAUUCUGGCGGGCAUGCCUGUUCGAGCGUCAUUACAACCCUCAGGCCCCCGGGCCUGGCGUUGGGGAUCGGCGGAAGCCCCCUGUGGGCACACGCCGUCCCUCAAAUACAGUGGCGGUCCCGCCGCAGCUUCCAUUGCGUAGUAGCUAACACCUCGCAACUGGAGAGCGGCGCGGCCAUGCCGUAAAACACCCAACUUCUGAAUGUUGACCUCGAAUCAGGUAGGAAUACCCGCUGAACUUAAGCAUAUCAAUAAGGCGGAGGAA
Molecule: ribosomal RNA, 523 nt
Filed under: Fusarium solani
Lineage: Eukaryota; Fungi; Ascomycota; Sordariomycetes; Hypocreales; Nectriaceae
Description: eukaryotic LSU rRNA
Rfam family: 5.8S ribosomal RNA (bases 136-289)
Source: RNAcentral